This is a non-coding RNA of Musa acuminata subsp. malaccensis (wild Malaysian banana), 1416 nucleotides long. Lineage: Eukaryota; Viridiplantae; Streptophyta; Magnoliopsida; Zingiberales; Musaceae. The record is from RefSeq and is a predicted model, not a curated record.
UUAACACAUGCAUAUAUAAGAUGAAUUUUUGUGUGAUUCUGGAUCCGGGGAUGACUUUUACAACUGGAACAGUUCAUAAAUCAUGCUCAAGUGGAAAGAGGUAAUCACCAAAAACUCUUAUUGCAUCGGUAAGUAUGAAAGCUUCAAUAAGUAUGAAAAUUUCUAUAGCUAUUUUCUAGAGCUUUGAGAAAAGAAACUGACGGUUCUUUUUGUUCCAAUUAUGCUUAAAUUGAGUGUUGUCAGCCCAUGCCUCCCUAAUGGUUAUUGUGUUCUAUAAAUUGUCCUAAAAGGUUUGCUACAUAUGCAACUAUGUGUACCUUCACAUUCUGUUACAAUCUCGUUCUUUUUGGCAGUGUCUUCUCGAUAGGCUGUCUGUGUAGCUUUGGUCAUAUGUGCUUGACUCGAUCAACCUUCAUAAUUGAAAGUUUGGUCAAGUAAUAAUGUCUUCUUGCGGAAAUUAUAGGCUUUUUCUUUUUCAGCCUUUUCAUUUGAUUACGAAGCUGAUUCUUAAUCAAAUAAGUGUAUCUACAGUCAUUUUAAUGGAAUCAGUCAAAUCUAUAUCAUUAUAAAGAAUAUCUUGAAGAUUCCUAGGAGUAGGAAAGAUUUUAGAUCUAUCAUGUCAUCUUUAUGUAAUGAGUCAUGGUUGGUGCGGACCUGUGGAUUGAGUAACAGGUCGGAUGCCUAAAGAUUAAUAAAUUAGUUCAGAGAUGAAGGUGCAGAAAUAUUACUUGACCAUCGAUGUCGGCCUUUUGGCAUCUGAUUUGUGCCUUUUUUAUCAUUGUUGCCCAUUAGUGUGGACUCCAAGAUGAACUCGAUGGGGAAAAUAAUUUUUUACUAUUCCAAGAAUUUCAUUUUAGAUGGCAUCAAUAAGAUGGUGUGUGAUUUAUGCCACUUUUCUGUCAGCAUACCUUUUCUCUGAGUUAAUCGAUCUUUUACAAUUUAUUUAAAUGCAAGAAAGGACUCAGCUAGCUAGAGCAGAAACCAGUGCUGAUUUUUCAGGUAAGCUCACUGAGAAGAGUGAUGUUUGCAUUUGGAGUGAUCUGCUGGAACUUGUGAUGGGAAGAAAGCCGGUUGACAAAACAGCACCAUCUCAAUGCUAAUCACUUUUGACUUGGUAGUCGGAAACACAGUGGAUCUCAAACACUGGUAUCAAGCUUGUCAUCGGGCUGAUGUAUAGUGCUCUCUGAUCUGUCAGAAUGUUCAUUGUUGAUGAAUAUAUUAGGUCAGGGUGGAGGCUGCUGCCGUAGCUGUAUUGCUUGUCAACUCCAAUAUCUAAAUCUCUUCAUUGCAGAUAUCCCCUGUUCUUUUUGUGUAUUGUACAUGUAUUAGCGAGCUUUCUGUAUCACUUUUAAUCGAAUUUGGUCACUUGUACAGUUGAGAGGAGAUAGAUUGCUUAAAGGAAGAACCGUUUUGUCA